CUCCAAGCCUACACCUUCCCAAACCCUAAUCAAUUUUCGCCCCGCAAACCCAUUUUCUCUUUCUAAACCAUUCUACAAAUCCAAUUCCCGCAGACCCAUCUCCGUGAACUGCGCCAUUUCUCGCACCAAGAAGGAAGAAACUGUAGAAACUGUCAAAACACAGCUGGAGAACUGUCACCUGAUGGCAGCCNNNNNNNNNNNNACUGUUAAACAAUUCCAAGAAUUGAGGAGAUCAUUGCCUGAAUCCUCCAAACUUCUCGUAGCAAAGAACACUUUGGUAUACAAGGCCAUAGAGGGUACCCAAUGGGAGGCCUUGAAGCCCUGUAUGAAGGGUAUGAAUGCUUGGCUUUUUGUGCAUAGUGAGGAGAUACCUGAGGCUAUUAAGCCGUAUAGGAAUUUCCAGAAGGAGAAGAAGUUGGAGAACAAUGACUUUACUGGGGCGGUUUUUGAGGGGAAGUUUUAUGGGCCAGGAGAUUUUAAGCAGCUGGAGACAAUGCCAUCCAGAGCAGAGCUAUAUGCUAAAAUUUUGGGUGCCUUGCAGAGCCCUGCAAUUGGUUUGGUGAGUACCUUACAGGCGCCGGCCAGGGAUGUGAUUAUGGUGCUCAAGGCUUAUGUGAAGAAGCUGGAGGAUGAGAGUGGUGG
RNAcentral lists this unclassified non-coding RNA (642 nucleotides) under Hevea brasiliensis (rubber tree). The record is from RNAcentral. Lineage: Eukaryota; Viridiplantae; Streptophyta; Magnoliopsida; Malpighiales; Euphorbiaceae.